Molecule: ribosomal RNA, 437 nt
Filed under: uncultured bacterium
Lineage: Bacteria
Description: partial 16S ribosomal RNA
Rfam family: Bacterial small subunit ribosomal RNA
Source: RNAcentral
CUACGGGCGGCAGCAGUGAGGAAUAUUGCACAAUGGGGGGAACCCUGAUGCAGCAACGCCGCGUGGAGGAUGACGCAUUUCGGUGUGUAAACUCCUUUUAUAUGUCAAGAAAAUGACGGUAGCAUAUGAAUAAGCACCGGCUAACUCCGUGCCGGCAGCCGCGGUAUCGGAGGGUGCAAGCGUUACUCGGAAUCACUGGGCGGAAAGGACGCGUAGGCGGGUUGGAAAGUCAGGUGUGAAAUCCUACAGCUUAACUGUAGAACUGCACUUGAAACUUCUAAUCUAGAGUAUGGGAGGGGGAGAUGGAAUUAGUGGUGUAGGGGUAAAAUCCGUAGAUAUCACUAGGAAUACCUAAAGCGAAGGCGAUCUCCUGGAACAUUACUGACGCUAAGGCGUGAAAGCGUGGGGAGCAAACAGGAUUAGAUACCCCGGUAGUC